Molecule: ribosomal RNA, 468 nt
Filed under: uncultured bacterium
Lineage: Bacteria
Description: bacterial SSU rRNA
Rfam family: Bacterial small subunit ribosomal RNA
Source: RNAcentral
GAAUUCAACUCCUACGGGAGGCAGCAGUGGGGAAUAUUGCACAAUGGGCGCAAGCCUGAUGCAGCGACGCCGCGUGCGGGAUGACGGCCUUCGGGUUGUAAACCGCUUUCAGUACAGAAGAAGCCUUUUUUGGGUGACGGUAUGUGCAGAAGAAGCGCCGGCUAACUACGUGCCAGCAGCCGCGGUAAUACGUAGGGCGCGAGCGUUAUCCGGAAUUAUUGGGCGUAAAGAGCUUGUAGGCGGUUUGCCGCGUCUGCUGUGAAAGCCCGGGGCUUAACUCCGGGUGUGCAGUGGGUACGGGCAGGCUAGAGUGCAGUAGGGGAGACUGGAAUUCCUGGUGUAGCGGUGAAAUGCGCAGACAUCAGGAGGAACACCGAUGGCGAAGGCAGGUCUCUGGGCUGUUACUGACGCUGAGAAGCGAAAGCAUGGGUAGCGAACAGGAUUAGAAACCCUAGUAGUCCAGGCGUU